AUUGAACGCUGGCGGCAUGCCUUACACAUGCAAGUCGAACGGCAGCACGGGUGCUUGCACCUGGUGGCGAGUGGCGAACGGGUGAGUAAUACAUGGGAACAUGCCCUUGGAUGGGGAAUAACGUUUGGAAACGAACGCUAAUACCGCAUAAUCUCGCGAGAGUAAAGGUGGCGCCGCAAGGGCUACCGUCCAAGGAUUGGCCCAUGUCCCAUUAGCUAGUUGGCGGGGUAAUGGCCCACCAAGGCAACGAUGGGUAACUGGUCUGAGAGGAUGAUCAGUCACGCUGGAACUGAGACACGGUCCAGACUCCUACGGGAGGCAGCAGUAGGGAAUAUUGCACAAUGGGGGAAACCCUGAUGCAGCAACGCCGCGUGAGUGAAGAAGGCCCUUGGGUUGUAAAGCUCUUUAGCGUGGGAAGAAGGUAGAUAUGGUGAAUAAUCAUGUUUGCUGACGGUACCACGAGAAUAAGCACCGGCUAAUUUCGUGCCAGCCGCCGCCGUAA
This 502-nucleotide ribosomal RNA is filed under the name uncultured bacterium. RNAcentral describes it as "partial 16S ribosomal RNA". It matches the Rfam family "Bacterial small subunit ribosomal RNA", at positions 30 to 523 of the family's 1533-position model. The record is from RNAcentral.